AAAACAAAUCAGGCAGAUGUAGAGAAUUUAUCUGCAUAUGUGUAUCUCAGCAUAAGGUAACUGUUCAAUCAUGGCCUGAAGCACUGAUUGAGCACCUGAGGAAAGAACCGGGUCAGCAAUUCACCUGUGCGACCAGAAGGGGUGGAUCCUGGCUGCACCUCUCUUAGACCUCAUUUAAGAGCUGACUGCCACUAGGGAAGGAUCUCUUUCUGGAGAUCUCCUUGGUGGAGCCUUUUUCUGUGAACCUGCAAUCUUCUGAUGCAGUAAAACAAAUCACUGACUAAUAACAACGGACAGUGACAGCUCUCAGGUGUGGAUUUGCACUAAAACAUUAAAGAAAGAGAAGUAAUUGAUUUCUUUGCUGCUCUGGAGGUUGGGAAGAGGAGACAGAAAAGGUGGGUGGCUUUCCAUGAGGUGUAGCAAAGAAGGGUGAGAACUGCAGUAUCCAAAAUUGACUCAACGUGACAACUGAUGUUGGUUUGAGCGACUGGCAAAUGACCACAGUGAUUUAUGUGGAUUAUUAAGUGUCUUUCUUCUGUAAGUUACUGCAUUUAAAUUGCCAAGCAGAAGUGCCUAAACAGAUGUUCCCACUUCUUACCUGUUUCAGUGCAAAUUCCAACAGCUGACUUACGUGAGGUUUUGUGUGGCUAGACUUGCAGACAAGUUUUGCUCCUGCCAUGUUUCCUUCAGGAUAGUAAUAUAUAGCAGAGGGGGACACAAGCAGGUUUAUCAGAGGUGUAAGGACUUUUGCCACCACCCUGUUUGUCUGUGCCUGUCAUCCCCACGCUCAUCCUGGCUGAGUAACAUGCUCACUGCUGGCUGCAGUCUGGCAUAGCAGCUUCUUCAGCUCUGCCAAAGCUGGGCAACUGGCAGUUAGUGUACGUCCUUGCCUUGUUAACCUUAAACUGUGUCUGUAGCUGAAACCCUUCUGAUUCCUGUCCUGACUGGACAGGAAACUAAUGUGCUUCUACUUCUUUCUACAUAGAGAUUCUGUAUUUCUGCAAGUUGUAAGAACAAUAUGUGGUCUUGAUCUUACUGUCAUGCUUGCAGCCUUUCUGAAGGAAUUCCAGCUGCUGAUGUUGCCAAGAAAAUGACAAAGAUACAUGAAAAUUGCACAGAAUGUGGAGCACGGGUUUGCAACCUUGAUCACUAAUUACCAAAUAAUUCCAGAGAUUCACCCAUGAACUGACACUUAAGAUCUUUUUUAAGGCAUGUCGAAAUGGAGAAAUUCCACCAAUGUGAUGAUGGAAGAAUUACACUUCUGAUUCUUGCUAGACUUAUCAAGUUCCAAAUCUGAAAGUGCUCCAAAAUAUUCUGCUGGUGCUACUGCAAAAAUUAAGCUUGAGCCUAAGCCAAUGUGAAGGAAUCUUUCUGAUUCUGUACAUUGGCUUGUCUGGAAAAAGGCAAAUGGCCCAAUUGUAAACUUCUUGGCUACACCCAGACUUGUUAAACUUCAGCAUAAAUAUAUAUAAAAUUUUGAGGAAUUUCUUUAUUCCUACUGUUUGUUAAGGUCUAAAUAAAGCCUUAGAAGCUUGACUUACUCAUGCAAAUGUUUAAAAUGCAGCUGUUCAAACUGGAACAUGUACAUUCAUCAAAACAAGGUACAGAGCAAAUGGUAAAGAAGACACUGUGGUGGAGGGCAGGGCAUAUAUCAAUAGGAAAACAGUUAACCAAGAUCUAAUUCAUACAUAUUUACUUGAACAUGUAUUCAAAACUAAGUAUUUUCUCCCAUCUCUUUGAAUACAUAUUUGUCUUUAUAAUGAACUUUUCAGUCCUCUAAUUUCCCCAUGCUUUUAUACACAUGAAUUUUUUUUUCUACUGCUUAGAUCUGACUUCUUGUUUUUCCUCUGACUGUAUUCACAUCUGAUUUUAUCAUUUCGUUUGGCUAACUGCAAAGCAAUACUCUCCAAUCUUGCUAGUCUAUCAGCAGUGUGAAAAUACCAUGACAUGUAAACCAUCAGCAAAUGUGUGAACUACUAGAAGGCUGCUGUUUGCUGAGUUGUGAAUUACAGAGAGCAUAAGAAAAGCAGCAAAAAUGUUUUUUUUGUUGUUAAUACUGUUGGUUC
Molecule: non-coding RNA, 2066 nt
Organism: Meleagris gallopavo (turkey)
Lineage: Eukaryota; Metazoa; Chordata; Aves; Galliformes; Phasianidae
Source: RefSeq, a predicted model, not a curated record